Molecule: ribosomal RNA, 897 nt
Filed under: Methanocaldococcus villosus KIN24-T80
Lineage: Archaea; Methanobacteriati; Methanobacteriota; Methanococci; Methanococcales; Methanocaldococcaceae
Description: bacterial LSU rRNA
Rfam family: Archaeal large subunit ribosomal RNA
Source: RNAcentral
CCGGGUACAACCGGGCGAAGCGCCGGUAAACGGCGGGGGUAACUAUAACCCUCUUAAGGUAGCGAAAUUCCUUGUCGGGUAAGUUCCGACCUGCAUGAAUGGCGUAACGAGACCCCCACUGUCCCGGGCCGGAUCCCGGUGAACCUACCUUUCCGGUGCAAAGGCCGGAGACCCCCAGCGGGAAGCGAAGACCCCGUGGAGCUUUACUGCAGCCUGCCGUUGGGGCGUGGCCGUGGGUGCACAGCGUAGGUGGGAGGCGUCGAAGCCACCCCUCCGGGGGUGGUGGAGCCGCCCAUGGGACACCACCCACCCAUGGCCACGUCCCUAACCCGCGUAAGCGGGGACACCGGUAGGUGGGCAGUUUGGCUGGGGCGGCACCCCCCUGAAAAGGCAUCAGGGGGGCCCAAAGGUCGGCUCAGGCGGGUCAGAACUCCGCCGUUGAGUGCAAGGGCAAAAGCCGGCCUGACUCGGUCGGUAAAAGAGGCCGACCGAGAGGCGAAAGCCGGGCCUAGCGAACCCCUGUGCCUCACCGAUGGGGGCCAGGGAUAACAGAAAAGCUACCCCGGGGAUAACAGAGUUGUCGCGGGCAAGAGCCCAUAUCGACCCCGCGGCUUGCUACAUCGAUGUCGGUUCUUCCCAUCCUGGGCCUGCAGCAGGGCCCAAGGGUGGGGCUGUUCGCCCAUUAAAGGGGAUCGUGAGCUGGGUUUAAACCGUCGUGAGACAGGUUGGUUGCUAUCUGCUGGGGGUGUUGGCCGCCUGAGGGGAAGGUGGCUCUAGUACGAGAGGAACGAGCCGCCGGCGCCUCUGGUCUACCGGUUGUCCGGCAGGGCAUCGCCGGGCAGCUACGCGCUAAGGGAUAAGGCUGAAGGCAUCUAAGCCCGAAACCCUCCCCGAAAA